UACGUAGGGUCCGAGCGUUGUCCGGAAUUAUUGGGCGUAAAGGGUGCGUAGGCGGCGCGGUAAGUCGGGUGUGAAAUCUUGGAGCUUAACUCCGAAACUGCAUUCGAUACUGCCGUGCUUGAGGACUGGAGAGGAGACUGGAAUUUACGGUGUAGCGGUGAAAUGCGUAGAUAUCGUAAGGAAGACCAGUGGCGAAGGCGGGUCUCUGGACAGUUCCUGACGCUGAGGCACGAAGGCCAGGGGAGCAAACGGG
RNAcentral lists this ribosomal RNA (253 nucleotides) under uncultured bacterium. RNAcentral's name for it is "partial 16S ribosomal RNA". It matches the Rfam family "Bacterial small subunit ribosomal RNA", at positions 524 to 776 of the family's 1533-position model. The record is from RNAcentral.